UGAAGCCGGAAUUGCUAGUAAUGGCAGGUCAGCAUACUGCCGUGAAUACGUUCCCGGGGCCUUGUACACACCGCCCGUCACACCAUGAGAGUUGGGGAUACCCGAAGCCUGUGAGCCAACUAUAUAGAGGCAGCAGUCGAAGGUAGAAUCAAUGAUUGGGGUGAAGUCGUAACAAGGUAGC
RNAcentral lists this ribosomal RNA (181 nucleotides) under uncultured bacterium. RNAcentral's name for it is "partial 16S ribosomal RNA". It matches the Rfam family "Bacterial small subunit ribosomal RNA", at positions 1321 to 1500 of the family's 1533-position model. The record is from RNAcentral.